CUAGAUGUAUCCUUGGAGACCUCUGGUGCCUGCUGGCAACCCAGGGAACUCAAAGAUGAAGCAGAUGCCUCCUAUACUCUCUCAGAGGGGAGGGGCUGCUGGAGUUCCUAGCAAAGGUUUCCAUUACUUUCAGUAGGAAGUUAAACAAGCACCAUCCAAUUGGAGAUCCUUUUCCUUUAAACAUGCUCAGAAUGACCCAGAAUCUCUCUCUAAGGCCAUGGUGUCCAACCCGCUAGCUACUAUGUAGCUAUUUGGCUUAUUGAGUGUGGCUAGUUGGCUCACAAAAUUAUUAAUAUUUUCAGAAUAACAUGGCUAGUUCACUAUAGCAGUAGCCACUAUAGUAGCUACUGAUUUAGAACUGGUUAGACACCACGGCUCUAAGAUGACCAGAACACAUGAAAUAAAUAAUAGUAGCACAGAUCAGCCUUGACCUGUAAGACCAUUCAGGGUAGAUAACUAGAGGAAUAAUAAUAAAACCUGAACCAUGUUCCUUUGACACUUAUUGCCUAAGCAAAGCAAGGUCCUACAAACAUAUCAAAAGCAUUUCUGUUUAUAUAUGUAAUCAGUAACUUUUAAAACUGCAUUGAAUACAUUCUAGAAUGUCAGGGAGUAUUCUAGGCACUACUGGACAGAAUUUGUAUUGUGGUGAAAAUCAGAAAAGCCUGCUUUCCAGUAACAUCAGAUUUGUACUAUGAUGGAGUGGGAUUCCCACAUUAGCCUUGCAAAUGCAGAAUUAGAUUAGGUGGGCCCAAUCAGUUAAUUAGGCUUUAUUUUGGAGGCAGCUCAUCAGAGCCAGGCCCACCUGUGUAGGAAGAGAUGAGGCUGUUGGGGUCCUGAAGCAAAAAAGGAGUCGCUGACCAGAAAGAGAGAAUGAGUAAUGGCACACAAAUCAGGGAAGAGAGCAUCUACCUCAAGAGUUGAUCAUCCGAGAGAUCAGGCAGAGAUGCCAGAGGAGGGGACCUAAAGUUACAGCCACCAGGAAUAGAACUCUAUUCAUAUGAAAGCUGUCAGACAAAUCGAAUGGCUGUAAGGAAGGCUUGGAGAAGAGCUCCACUAAUCACAUGACAAGCAUUAUGGGCAGUACAGCACUUUCUAAUUUUGGCUUGUUCAGUUAUUUAGAGUUUGUAUUAGUUCACUUCUACAUGAACAAAUGAAUUAACUUAUUAAUGUAUCUCAAGAGUCUGAAAAGUAUUAACUUGGGUCAAAAUAAAGACCACUAUUGUACCCUA
Non-coding RNA from Pelodiscus sinensis (Chinese soft-shelled turtle), 1229 nucleotides. The record is from RefSeq and is a predicted model, not a curated record. NCBI's taxonomy places the organism in Eukaryota, Metazoa, Chordata, Testudines, Trionychidae.